Non-coding RNA from Trichonephila clavata, 72 nucleotides. Lineage: Eukaryota; Metazoa; Arthropoda; Arachnida; Araneae; Nephilidae. The record is from the annotation of a GenBank genome assembly.
GCGUCGGUGGUAUAACGUAGUUAGCAUAGCUGCCUUCCAAGCAGCUGACCUGGGUUCGACUCCGGCGACGCA